CCCAGUAGUGGGGGACAACCCGGGGAAACCCGCUAAUACCGCAUACGCCCUACGGGGAAAGCGGGGGACUUUCGGGCCUCGCGCUAUUGGAUGAGCCUGCGUCGGAUUAGCUUGUUGGUAUGGUAACGGCAUACCAAGGCGACGAUAGGUAGGGGCCCUGAGAGGGGGAUCCCCCACACUGGUACUGAGACACGGACCAGACUCCUACGGGAGGCAGCAGUGGGGAAUAUUGGACAAUGGGCGCAAGUGAUCCAGCCAUGCCGCGUGAGUGAAGAAGGCCUUAGGGUUGUAAAGCUCUUUCAGCGGGGAAGAUGAUGACGGUACCCGCAGAAGAAGCCCCGGCUAACUCCGUGCCAGCAGCCGCGGUAAUACGGAGGGGGCAAGCGUUGUUCAGAAUUACUGGGCGUAAAGGGCGCGCAGGGGCCGGCCGCGUCAGGUGUGAAAGCCCCGGGCUCAACCUGGGAACUGCACUUGAUACGGGUCGGCUUGAGGGCGAGAGAGGAGUGUGGAAUUCCCAGUGUAGAGGUGAAAUUCGUAGAUAUUGGGAAGAACACCGGUGGCGAAGGGGCACUCUGGCUCGUUACUGACGCUGAGGCGCGAAAGUGGGGAGCAAACAGGAUUAGAUACCCUGGUAGUCCACGCCGUAAACGAUGUGCGCUAGCGUCGGGCAGCAUGCUGUUCGGUGGCGCAAACGCGAUAAGCGCACCGCCUGGGGAGUACGGCCGCAAGUUAAAACUC
RNAcentral lists this ribosomal RNA (738 nucleotides) under uncultured bacterium. Its description in RNAcentral is "bacterial SSU rRNA". It matches the Rfam family "Bacterial small subunit ribosomal RNA", at positions 129 to 902 of the family's 1533-position model. The record is from RNAcentral.